Molecule: long non-coding RNA, 792 nt
Organism: Planococcus citri (citrus mealybug)
Lineage: Eukaryota; Metazoa; Arthropoda; Insecta; Hemiptera; Pseudococcidae
Exons: 4
Source: RefSeq, a predicted model, not a curated record
AACCUCAACUUACAGCAUUCGAAUCUCUUCAUGAAGUUUUCUUUCAUUAUACAGCUAAUGUGGAAACUCACAAACCGAUAAAAUGUUGACGAAUUAUCAGCUGUCACUCCUGACGCUCAAAAUUGCCUAACGAAUUCGUUUAAAAAAGCUUUUGAUGAUCCGAAAUUCUGCGACUUGUUUUUCGAGGUGGAAGGUAAAACGAUUCCAGUCCAUAAAUCGAUAUUAGCAGUGCGAUGUGAACAUUUCGCCGAAGAAUUUCAGAAAGAUUGGCGGGUUGAAAAACCGAGUGUUCUAAAAAUUGAAGACUGCGAUUUCAAAAUCUACAAAGCUUUCCUCAAAUACAUUUACACCGAUGAAAUCGACGAUACGUUAUCCUUCAACGAAAUUAUAGAAUUACUCAACUUGUCGAAUAAAUAUGGCAUGGAAUCAUUAGCUGAGCGUUGUGUAUCAUUGGUUCAAACCAGUAUUACCGUUGAUAAUGUCGUAUCUCUGUACGAACGUGUAAUUGAAAUGAGUAAAGUAACGAAGUUGAAAAAUGUUUUCGAUCAGUUUAAAGAAGCCUGUGUGAAAUUCGCCGCUGACAAUUUUUUCGCGAUGGGAAUUUCAAACGAAUUUGCUCAGUUGAAUGAGAAAUUGUUAAGAGAAUUAAUCCGGGAUGUUUGUAAGCAGAAAUUUAAGCAAUAAAAAUUAAGGUAGGUAAUUCAUUAUAUCGAAGUUUAGGUGUUCUUUCACAUCUGCUUAUCCACUUUGUGCUUGUGAUUUUUAAAAGACUUUGUAGAAUUGAGUAGUGAG